GCAGCACUUAGGGGCAGUUUAUAUCAGCCUGCAAGAUAAAACACCUGGGCUAGUAUUGCCAGAGGAGCUGUAAUACUGUGCAAGGAGUACAAUCAGGUCCACAUUGGACACUGUGAAAUAGCAGUAUUCUCUUUUUUCCUCUGUCUGCCCAAGCCCAGAAUUGAAUUGAUUCUGGGGCUUUCAUGAAAUGCCAGCUGCUGGGAGCACAAACCAAAAGCAGACCUGGAAAGAGCAGAAACUGGACCAGAAGCUUUUACUUUCUCUAUACACAGCAUGUAGUUGCACUGAGGUGGGAAGAUGAAGUCAUUUUUCAAACCCUAAUUGGCAACAGUGGACAGGAGAAAGCCUGCAGAACAUAACCCAAGCAAGUCACUGAAGAUUCAGGCUUCAUUUGUGAACAGAACAAGCACAGACCAGGCUGAGGAGUGCCUGAGAGCCACUACUGCACAGAAGCACAACUGGACCCUGACAACAGCAUCACUGCCCAAGGAGCACUCAUUUCAAACAUCACUGAGUUUACAAAACUUGGGGGAAACUUACCUGACUUUGACUCUUCCUGCUGUGCCAAAGAUGACCAGGAGUUCAGUGGUGCAGUCAGCUGGAGAAAGAUGGUGAUGUAAGUCGCCAUUUCUUGAGAAAUCCUAUCAGAUAGAAAAAGAAAAACAGGUAUUAACGUAUAAUAAACAACUACCUAUAAUAGUAUAUUCAGUAUAUUAUAGUACUAAACUGUAAAACACAUUACAAAACGCUGCAAGUAUCAGAAGCACAGGGAAAUGACAAAUUUCAGAGCAUGAAAGUUAAUAGCCAAAGUAUAUUUCAUUAAAAUAUCUGGUUAUUCCAUUAAAAUUGUUUCCUUCAUAUGCAUUACCUCAUUUCAUAUGGAGCAAUUAAUAGUAUUUUACCUUCAAAUUCCUAUCUUAAUAACUAGCUAUUACUGCAUAUUAAGGAUUUUUAACUAUAGGAGAAUUACAGUAAUUAACUUUGUACCAAUUACCAGGGUGCAUAUUAAUAUUCAUAUACUUUUACGAAAAGAAUGAUCCUGAAAUCUCUCAGCAGGGAUGGUUAAAAUGAUUCAUUAAUGCUCUGUGCAGGUUUCUUUUCUAAUUCAUUAAGAAAAUAUUAGCAUAAUCAUGUGAAAUUAAUUUUCCUUAAAAGGUUAAUAUAAGCAAGGGAUUAAGAGGACUGGUACUAAUACAUGGAAACAUGGCUUGCAUCAUGCUCUUGGUCUCCAAAGGCGGACUAUCAUAUCUGAAGUAUUACUUGCCAGUGCACUUUGAUAAGGAAGAAUUAGUCAGAGAUAGAGCUAGUUGAGCUGAGGAUUUCCACAUUUAAAAAGAAAAAAAAAUAACAGGAUACAUGAGCUUUUUUUUAUGCUCUUAUAUUUUUCUGUUUCAUAGAGGUAAAGACUAAACACGUUACUCAACACGAACAAUAAGCUGAAAGAAUACGGUGAAGUGAUAGGCUAAAAAACAGGAAAAGAAUCGAGAGGCUAGAGCAGCUAAUGAUAAUAAAAGAUGAAGAGAAGGAGAGAGCCAAGAGAAGCAGCAAUCCAAAUCAAAACCAGAGAAGGAAAAGUAAAUAGCUUCCCAAGAAUAGUUUCAAGUAAAAAGAGAAAGCAAUCUCAAUAACAAAUAUCAGUGAAACAGUAAUAUCUCAUUCGUAGAUUCGCAUAAAAAGGCAUUUAAGGUACAAGGACAUUAAGGAAUCUUGUGCUAUUAAAUGAAGUGCCUCUUCAUAAAUACAGUCCUGGUACAACUAGGCAAAAAUAAAAUUAAAGAAGGAAAGUUUGAAGCUCACACUGAGUUAGAAUAAUGUCACAGAAACAAACCCAGGGAAGAAUGUGGGACAUGAGCUCUGAGCCAAGACAAGAUUUUUUUGUCAAUGCUACAUCUGGCACUGCUUUUCUAUUUUCCUCAGGGAAACAAUUCUUUCAAGUCAGCAUUGAGCUCCAUAGCAAAACCAAGUUCAACAGCACUCAAGUUCAACAGCACUCAAGUAGGAUCCAGAGACAGAACUGGUCAGCUGCUAAGAAAGGCCAUGAAUGCUUUUUAAUUUUCUUUGUGAGGAAAGCAUCAAACCAGUGGUUUGUAAUCAAAGGAUAUGCAAAGAGUUCAUUAGAAAGAUAACAACCUUCUCCCUUUCAGCCCUGUUCCUGAUAUCAGGUCUUGGGUUGGAGUAGGCUCUGGUGGGCUACGUGGCAAUUUCCCCCAGGGCAGGAGGUUCUGUGCAAGGUGACAUUUGAAAUGGAACAUUACUUUGUCAGUAGUAACCUCCAGCACUCAAGCCUGAGCUACCCCACCUUCAGUCCUAUGCAAUUCUCACACAGACAGUGUCCUUCUGAAUAGCCUUAGACCUUCAGGAAUGCAUAGGAGACAUGAUCCCAAGGAUGCCUGGGGGGGAGCUCCAAGAAGGUACACUUCAGGGCUCACUUUCUUCAGAAGUGAAGCUUCUUUGUUUUCUUUCAGCAAAUGAUUUUUCACCUGGAAGUUACACAGCACUUGUGUACUUUCAGUUCAGCAACUCAUGGACUUAACUCUGACUUCAUUGUCUUGAAAAUUUUUAAUGAUUUUAAUGUUUUUUCUCAUUAGUGAUG
RNAcentral lists this long non-coding RNA (2593 nucleotides) under Gallus gallus (chicken). Its description in RNAcentral is "lncRNA (ENSGALG00010022177.1)". The record is from RNAcentral. Lineage: Eukaryota; Metazoa; Chordata; Aves; Galliformes; Phasianidae.